RNAcentral lists this ribosomal RNA (1176 nucleotides) under Triticum aestivum (bread wheat). RNAcentral describes it as "partial small subunit ribosomal RNA". The record is from RNAcentral. Lineage: Eukaryota; Viridiplantae; Streptophyta; Magnoliopsida; Poales; Poaceae.
AUGACUGAAGCGAUAUCUGAACUUACACUUCGUCAGUUAACUUGGAAUAUGACAAUACCUCCCCGUGAAGCACACACUUGUCCUCAAGUGUUACUGUCAGGAAACCAAGAUUGGAUGGGCAGUGACUUGCUCUUGCAUCCCAUCCACCUUGCUACUGAUUUCCUCUGUCCUUGCCCCGACUUGAUCCAGAUCGAGCUUCAUGGCGGCCACCUCUUGAGCGUCCGCCUUCUCUUCUUGGGUCUUCGAUUUCGCCAUCGAACUGCAAGAAAGGUCCGGAAUUUUACCACGGAACAGCCCAGCAACCGCAUCUCAAGCUACAGAUCUGUGCCCGAAUUUGUCUACCGCCGCCUACGCCUCCACGAACCAGAUCACCACCGCCCGACGCCGCCGAGGAACCUGGCUCUGAUACCAAUUGUCAGAUCCCAACAUGGAUCUAAAGCUCGAACUGACUCCCGAUGUGGAGUACCCUCGAUCAGCCUCGCCGGCGCGCAGCCCAGAUCCGAGCUCCCCUGCCUCCGCUCUUCCCUCCCCUCCGGCCAGAUCCGCCUCUCGCGUCCCCGGUACCGGAUGUCGGAGGGGUCGAUCCCUAAGGAGGCGGCGUACCAGAUCAUCAGCAACGAGCUAAUGCUGGACGGGAACCCGUGGCUGAACCUGGCGUCCUUCGUCACCACCUGGAUGGAGCCCGAGUGCGGCAAGCUCAUGAUGGACUCCAUCAACAAGAACUACGUCGACAUGGACGAGCAUUAUGACAUGUAUCUCUUGUGCCACGCUUCGCUGGCCUACUGUCUGGUGCUUGGCCUCGACUACAAACCAACGAGCAUUAACAUAGGUGCUCUAGACCUGCUCUGCGCCUGUUCAGAGGAAGGCAAGUUGUUGCAUCUGGAGCACAUCAGAGGGAACAAUGAAGUUUGUAGUUUGUACCACUUGGUUCUUACCAUUAGGACAAACUUGUGGCGGCCGACGAACGAGGGCAGCUGCGGUGGACGAACUAAGGGAGCGGUGACGGCAUAUGAGGUGGCCGGCGUAGCCACCAGCGGGGGAGAGAUGGGGCAGGCCGCCCCUCCUCACGGAUGCACCAGAACGAACGUCUCACACGCGGCAGCGAUGGAGGAGAUGUCCACCGUCUCGCGCUCAGCAGCGGGAACAACAGAUGUGGUGGUCCUCGUUCGGCCUUAA